This 208-nucleotide long non-coding RNA is filed under the name Zostera marina. RNAcentral's name for it is "long non-coding RNA (ZMAR_LNC006127)". Lineage: Eukaryota; Viridiplantae; Streptophyta; Magnoliopsida; Alismatales; Zosteraceae. The record is from RNAcentral.
CAUCAAAAGUGAAGUCUUCCCUUUGGCAAAGGACAAAGGGAACACCGCGCGGCACAGAGUAUGCAGUAAGCGUACGCGCUAUCCGAUCCGAGGCCUCGAUGUCCCUCGUGCUCAGCUCGAUCGAGGCAUUCAUGUGCACUCGAUUCGGAUCGUUCCACAUCUCCCGGCUCCCGGGAAGAAAUUCAGAAGUUAUGAAAAUAAACUCCCG